UCCGGGCUUAUGUGGAUGGGUGACCCAGGU
Molecule: non-coding RNA, 30 nt
Filed under: Rattus norvegicus (Norway rat)
Lineage: Eukaryota; Metazoa; Chordata; Mammalia; Rodentia; Muridae
Source: RNAcentral